UACGUGAGGGUGCGAGCGUUGUCCGGAAUUACUGGGCGUAAAGAGUUCGUAGGCGGUUUGUCGCGUCGUUUGUGAAAACCCGGGGCUCAACUUCGGGCUUGCAGGCGAUACGGGCAGACUUGAGUGUUUCAGGGGAGACUGGAAUUCCUGGUGUAGCGGUGAAAUGACGCAGAUAUCAGGAGGAACACCGGUGGCGAAGGCGGGUCUCUGGGAAACAACUGACGCUGAGGAACGAAAGCGUGGGUAGCAAACAGG
This 255-nucleotide ribosomal RNA is filed under the name uncultured bacterium. RNAcentral's name for it is "partial 16S ribosomal RNA". It matches the Rfam family "Bacterial small subunit ribosomal RNA", at positions 524 to 776 of the family's 1533-position model. The record is from RNAcentral.